RNAcentral lists this ribosomal RNA (465 nucleotides) under Vreelandella stevensii. RNAcentral's name for it is "partial 16S ribosomal RNA". It matches the Rfam family "Bacterial small subunit ribosomal RNA", at positions 338 to 795 of the family's 1533-position model. Lineage: Bacteria; Pseudomonadati; Pseudomonadota; Gammaproteobacteria; Oceanospirillales; Halomonadaceae. The record is from RNAcentral.
CCUACGGGAGGCAGCAGUGGGGAAUAUUGGACAAUGGGCGAAAGCCUGAUCCAGCCAUGCCGCGUGUGUGAAGAAGGCCUUCGGGUUGUAAAGCACUUUCAGUGGGGAAGAAAGCCUUGGGGCUAAUACCCUCGAGGAAGGACAUCACCCACAGAAGAAGCACCGGCUAACUCCGUGCCAGCAGCCGCGGUAAUACGGAGGGUGCGAGCGUUAAUCGGAAUUACUGGGCGUAAAGCGCGCGUAGGCGGUCUGAUAAGCCGGUUGUGAAAGCCCCGGGCUCAACCUGGGAACGGCAUCCGGAACUGUCAGGCUAGAGUGCAGGAGAGGAAGGUAGAAUUCCCGGUGUAGCGGUGAAAUGCGUAGAGAUCGGGAGGAAUACCGGUGGCGAAGGCGGCCUUCUGGACUGACACUGACGCUGAGGUACGAAAGCGUGGGUAGCAAACAGGAUUAGAUACCCCAGUAGUC